UCUUGGUUCAGGAUGAACGCUGACAGAGUGCUUAACACAUGCAAGUCUACUUGAUCCUUCGGGUGAAGGUGGCGGACGGGUGAGUAACGCGUAAAGAACUUGCCUUACAGACUGGGACAACAUUUGGAAACGAAUGCUAAUACCGGAUAUUAUGAUUGGGUCGCAUGAUCUGGUUAUGAAAGCUAUAUGCGCUGUGAGAGAGCUUUGCGUCCCAUUAGUUAGUUGGUGAGGUAACGGCUCACCAAGACGAUGAUGGGUAGCCGGCCUGAGAGGGUGAACGGCCACAAGGGGACUGAGACACGGCCCUUACUCCUACGGGAGGCAGCAGUGGGGAAUAUUGGACAAUGGACCAAAAGUCUGAUCCAGCAAAUUCUGUGUGCACGAUGAAGUUUUUCGGAAUGUAAAGUGCUUUCAGUUGGGAAGAAGUCAGUGACGGUACCAACAGAAGAAGCGACGGCUAAAUACGUGCCAGCAGCGGC
RNAcentral lists this ribosomal RNA (479 nucleotides) under uncultured bacterium. RNAcentral describes it as "bacterial SSU rRNA". It matches the Rfam family "Bacterial small subunit ribosomal RNA", at positions 17 to 518 of the family's 1533-position model. The record is from RNAcentral.